CUCUUGGAAAGGGAACCAAGGCACAGGAGGUGGUAUGGACACUCCGAGUGCCUCUGCUCCUCCCCAAGAACUGCAGCCCCCGCGACUGGUCCUAGCCCAGUGCGGAGGGUACUGCAAUUUCCAAGGAAGCUAGUCGUCAAGAGGGCAAAAAUGGUCCUAUGGGUGACGCUCCGGAGUCGUCCGUGCUUGGCACAAAGGUGCCUACUCCGGCCAGCACUCCUCCUCCCGCUCCGACUGAUACAUCUGCGCCAGCUGGGGAGGGAGGGAGCAGGAGAUGGAGCGCCUGCGGCGGUAGCAGAGCUGUCUCCUUAUCACGGCGGGACGACCCUAGAGCCAGAGCCGCUCAGGACCAGAGCCCCUGGGGUGGCUCAUCCUAGGGUGUCGGGUGAGGUCCCUGCUGGGCUUAUCCACGACGAUCUUUUGGAAGAGCGGGUCUGCAAGAAGAUGUUGAACUCGCUGAAGCAAGUGAAUAUUCAUCACAAGAAAAUGGCCCUGCGAUCCCGAGUCAAGUAAUCCAUUUUGUUUGUGAUGUCAGAAUGACUCCAGCAGGUUCCUGCGCUUAAGCAGGAGCUUGAGGAAAAGCAUGACUUGAUUGCCGAACUCAGGGAGCAGCUGGCUGCACCUCGGGAAGGUGCCACUAGUUCCUCUAGCCAGUACCAAGAGGAGCUUGCUCAACUCAAGAGGGAAAGGGAUCAAGCUCUCCAAGAUUGCGCGGAACUGCAUUAGUCCAAGGUGGAUCUCGAAGAGUACAAGAAAACCUUAGAGCAGCAGCUGGAACAAGCUGACAAGAAGCUUGUUGAACAGCAAUAUAGUAUCCAGAAGUUGAAUCGGGAUAAAGAUAGGAGAGACCAGGAGAUCUGCAACCUGGAGGAGGCGGCUCGAGUUGUCAUUGACAUGGUGCAGCCUCUGCAUCCUGGGUAUGUGGAUUCUAGGUCAGUCUUGGAGAGACUCAAGCUUGUUCCUGACUGGCUGAAGGACGCUCCCAAGAGAAGAUCUUCUAGGAGAUAGGCCAAUAGCAUAGUAUAUGGCCUUUAUGUAUAUAACCUUUUGCCACUUUCUGACAUAUAUAAUGUCUUCUGGAACGUGGUCCUACAAUUUCCUGUUAUGCUCAUUGUCUUCUAUAAUUAGAUGAGCUCGAUUGAGUGCCUUUAUUA
Molecule: long non-coding RNA, 1154 nt
Organism: Panicum virgatum (switchgrass)
Lineage: Eukaryota; Viridiplantae; Streptophyta; Magnoliopsida; Poales; Poaceae
Exons: 4
Source: RefSeq, a predicted model, not a curated record